UAUAUGUUGAUGUAGAGAGCAUAAAAAGUUUUGAUCUUCUUUGAAAUGGUGCAAAUCCAUUACGUAUAA
Molecule: transfer RNA, 69 nt
Filed under: Ilyoplax deschampsi
Lineage: Eukaryota; Metazoa; Arthropoda; Malacostraca; Decapoda; Dotillidae
Description: tRNA-Gln
Source: RNAcentral